CAAGGAAUGUUAGUAGGACUUCAUCGGAAAAGUCAUCUUGGAUAGGAAUGUUAACUCUUCCCUUUUCAAUCCUUCUAAGAUGGUCAACUACUAAAUUGCGUGCCCCACUUCUGUCUUGAAUAAGAGACAACUUGUUCUUAUCGUCCUUGACCAUUGUGAUUCCACCUUUUUUCGGAACCACAUGUAUAGGGUCCGCCCAAAUGCUGUCAGAAUUGUGGUCUAUAAUACCUGUUUGUAGCAGCUUGGUGUCCCUUUUCUUUACAACCCCCAUCAGUUGAGAAUUCAGUCUUCCUUGAGGUUGUCUCAUUGGUUUAGCAUCACUUGAUAA
RNAcentral lists this long non-coding RNA (328 nucleotides) under Vigna radiata. Its description in RNAcentral is "long non-coding RNA (VRAD_LNC004354)". Lineage: Eukaryota; Viridiplantae; Streptophyta; Magnoliopsida; Fabales; Fabaceae. The record is from RNAcentral.